RNAcentral lists this ribosomal RNA (253 nucleotides) under uncultured bacterium. RNAcentral describes it as "partial 16S ribosomal RNA". It matches the Rfam family "Bacterial small subunit ribosomal RNA", at positions 524 to 776 of the family's 1533-position model. The record is from RNAcentral.
UACAGAGGGUGCAAGCGUUGUUAGGAAUUAUUGGGCGUAAAGGGCGCGUAGGCGGUCUGUCAAGUCGAAUGUGAAAGCCCAGGGCUCAACCUUGGAAGUGCAUCCGAAACUGGCAGACUAGAAUCUAGGAGAGGGUGGUGGAAUUCCCAGUGUAGAGGUGAAAUUCGUAGAUAUUGGGAGGAACACCGGUGGCGAAGGCGACCGCCUGGACGAAGAUUGACGCUGAGGCGCGAAAGCGUGGGUAGCAAACAGG